GUGUCAGCAGCCGCGGUAAUACGAAGGACCCGAGCGUUAUCCGGAUUUAUUGGGUUUAAAGGGUGCGUAGGCGUCCUGGAAAGUUACGGUUGAAAUCUCCUUGCUCAACAAGGAAACUGGCCGUAAAACUAUCAGGAUUGAGUACAUUUGAAGCGGGCGGAAUGUGUCAUGUAGCGGUGAAAUGCUUAGAUAUGACACAGAACACCAAUUGCGAAGGCAGCUCGCUAAACUGUAACUGACGCUGAGGCACGAAAGCGUGGGGAUCAAACAGGAUUAGAUACCCUCGUAGUCC
This 292-nucleotide ribosomal RNA is filed under the name uncultured bacterium. RNAcentral describes it as "partial 16S ribosomal RNA". It matches the Rfam family "Bacterial small subunit ribosomal RNA", at positions 505 to 796 of the family's 1533-position model. The record is from RNAcentral.